This 331-nucleotide ribosomal RNA is filed under the name uncultured bacterium. RNAcentral's name for it is "partial 16S ribosomal RNA". It matches the Rfam family "Bacterial small subunit ribosomal RNA", at positions 338 to 666 of the family's 1533-position model. The record is from RNAcentral.
CCUACGGGAGGCAGCAGUGAGGAAUAUUGGUCAAUGGACGCAAGUCUGAACCAGCCAAGCCGCGUGCAGGAAGACGGCCCUAUGAGUUGUAAACUGCUUUUGUACGGGGGUAAACGCAGUUACGUGUGGCUUGCUGCAGGUAUCGUAUGAAUAAGGAUCGGCUAAUUCCGUGCCAGCAGCCGCGGUAAUACGGAGGGUCCGAGCGUUAUCCGGAUUUAUUGGGUUUAAAGGGUGCGCAGGCGGUCGGUUAAGUUAGAGGUGAAAUGCCGAGGCUCAACCGUGGCAUUGCCGCGGAAACUGGGGGGCUAGAGUGGAGUAGAGGUAGGCGGAA